RNA transcript from Pristis pectinata (smalltooth sawfish), 1022 nucleotides. It is a transcript of the gene named oligosaccharyltransferase complex subunit 4 (non-catalytic), with no coding region annotated. The record is from RefSeq and is a predicted model, not a curated record. NCBI's taxonomy places the organism in Eukaryota, Metazoa, Chordata, Chondrichthyes, Rhinopristiformes, Pristidae. The transcript has 3 exons.
CGGGGCAGCGCUCGCCACGCAUGCUCUCCGUGUACACGUCGGAUUGCGCAGAGGAGCUGCGGGGGAGACGUGGCUGGAAGUCAGGCGUCCGAGUGGAGUGUAGAUUAAAAACCCCUCCGAGAGGAUGAUCACAGACGUGCAGCUGGCGAUCUUUGCCAACAUGCUAGGAGUAUCUCUAUUCCUCCUAGUUGUCCUGUACCACUAUGUUGCUGUUAACAAUCCCAAGAAGCUGGAGUGAUAUAAUAUCACAAGAGCAUAACAUUUAACAGUGUGAAGAUUAGGACCAAUAACAUAAUUACUUAAAAGAUGGAAGCUAGACUAGCAGAUGAAACAAGAUCAACAUCGGAUUUCACCAAUACUGCUUUCAAAAAAAAAAUGGCAUUACAUGUGCUUUGUACAGGGGGAGAAAAUGUGCCUUGUUAAUAAAUAUUUAACUUGCUGAAAUUGUGAAUCAUGUAUCUUUGUGAUUCCUUUAAAAUGAUGUGCAACUUAAAAUUGCAGUGAAAAUUGAUAAUUGGGGAAAAAUGGAUAGUUACCAUCUCACCUUUGGUCAAAUGUUAAUAAAUUAACAUGUAUUUCAUUUGCUGUUCUGACUAGAAGUCUGAUACAUUAAAGGCUAAAGGAUUUUUUUUCUCCUACGUAUAAUAUCGAAGCUUCAGAAGUACCAGUUAAAGAAUUACUUGGUGGUGUAACCUGUUGCUGCAGCAAUCAUACACCAAUAAAUGUGACAUUAAAAUGAGUAAUGCAUUCCUGUAAUUGUGCAAAUUGUUAACUUGUUCAUAAAUCUUGCUGCUUAUGGACUGCAUGAGAAACUAAUCUUUGACAUCUGAAAUUUUAAAUAUUUUUCCCUCCCAAGGAUGUUAAAUUCCUUUUUUUUUGUCCUGCAUCCCCCAUGCUUUAGGCAUUCAUUAUUUCAGUGCUAGUCUUGAAAUCAAAAGAUUGUGUGUUUAGCCUAUUCUACUUAAGAAAAAUAUCACUGAUGUAUUUGUGUGUGCAAGAUUUAAAAAAAAGCUUGCUAGUUA